RNAcentral lists this ribosomal RNA (272 nucleotides) under uncultured bacterium. RNAcentral's name for it is "partial 16S ribosomal RNA". It matches the Rfam family "Bacterial small subunit ribosomal RNA", at positions 337 to 606 of the family's 1533-position model. The record is from RNAcentral.
UCCUACGGGAGGCAGCAGUGAGGAAUAUUGGUCAAUGGGCGGGAGCCUGAACCAGCCAAGUCGCGCGAGGGAUGACGGCCCUAUGGGUUGUAAACCUCUUUUGCCGGGGAGCAAAGUGCCGCACGUGUGCGGGUUGGAGAGUACCCGGAGAAAAAGCAUCGGCUAACUCCGUGCCAGCAGCCGCGGUAAUACGGAGGAUGCGAGCGUUAUCCGGAUUUAUUGGGUUUAAAGGGUGCGUAGGCGGACGCUUGAGUCAGCGGUAAAAUUGCGGG